GAUGGCUCUAACUGAACACUGUCCAAGUACUUGACACAUGCUAAUCGAACGACUAAUUAGUUUAAUUAUUAUCUAAUAUUUAAAUUAAGUAGUAGUGGUGUACAGGUGAGUAAAAGAUAAAUUGGCUACCUUAAAGUAAGGGAAAAAAUCCCUUAUAACCAAAGGUUAAUAUUACCGCUUUAAGAUGAUAAUUUUUAUCUCGGUGAGUAGUAGGAAAGGUAAUGACUUUUCUAGCAAUAAACCGUAGUCGUAACUGGAAAGUUGAUCGACCACAUUGGGUCUGAAAAAAACCCAAUGCUUUUAUGUACAGCAGUGAGGAAUAUUGGUCAAUGGCCGAAAGGCUGAACCAGUAACUUGGAAGAAUGUCUAUGUAACUUGUAUGGUUACAUUCGCGAUUAACUCGCAUAAAAUUCUAAAUAGAUUGUAUAUAAUGACAUAAUCUAUUUAUAAGUC
This 453-nucleotide ribosomal RNA is filed under the name Penicillium chrysogenum. RNAcentral describes it as "SSU rRNA". The stretch from base 23 to 358 matches the Rfam family "Bacterial small subunit ribosomal RNA", at positions 40 to 399 of the family's 1533-position model. Lineage: Eukaryota; Fungi; Ascomycota; Eurotiomycetes; Eurotiales; Aspergillaceae. The record is from RNAcentral.